This 1111-nucleotide long non-coding RNA is filed under the name Felis catus (domestic cat). Its description in RNAcentral is "lncRNA (ENSFCAG00000048430.1)". The record is from RNAcentral. Lineage: Eukaryota; Metazoa; Chordata; Mammalia; Carnivora; Felidae.
GGUCAAGCAGAACAAAACAUCUGGGGUAUAAUUACUGGAAAAGAGAAAUGUUUCUUCCUUAAUGUAUUUCUGCAACCAGAAGAAAGUGGUGUCCCACAAAUCUUUGGAACAUCUAAGAGAAUCACAAUCACAGGUUCACAAGCAUAUGUAAAAUAUUUCUGUUUGGACAUGAGCCAAGUGCAGAGCACCCUGCCUUGCAUUGCAAACAGUUCCAAAGAGCCUGGGGAAUCCAGAAACCCUGGCCACACGUUUAUGGGCCUGGCUUCUCCCAUCUUUGCACAGAUUCAUGAUUCUUUAAAGAAUGAACACUCCUUACUGACUUUUGGAUUCUGAACCAGGGACCUUCUCGGACUCCCUCCCAGAGGGACAGCUGACUUCUCUCCAAUCUAAGGAGAGUUGAGAGAUGUCAGGCCUUGAUCAAGCUGAUAGUCCCUUGAUAUCUCAACACCUCCCCCACCUCUGCUGUGACGGGUAAGAGCCGAGCUUGCCGGUACUGGUACAGUAUGAAGAGAGGAAGGAGUCUUUGUGACAGAGAAGGAAAGGGGGACAGGUGGUCAGAUGGAAUGAGAAGGCCCCCAGCCAGCUCUUUGAGAGAAGGUAAUGCAUUUGAUGUACUCUAAUGGUACCCCUGGCUGAGGGGCCAUAUGGAGCCCUGGAUACUGCAUAAUUCCAUCUUACUCCCCAGUUGAGACCCCCUUUUCCUGCCGAAAUCACAUUGUCCAUUGGGUCACGCAGUUGCCACUGGUAUUUCCUACUGCUCUCACUCAGAAGGGAAAGGUUAAAAAUACAAGGUGUACCCUGACAUCUGAUCCUAGAGCAUCUUUUAUAAUCAGAGUUUGGCCAAACUUUAGCAUUGCAGAGCCUUCUGGGAAUGUAUUAUUUCAAAUACCUGCAUUUAGAGACAGUUAAAGUUAAGUCUUUAAGCUGUGGGACGGAAACUGGUAGGACAAACAGCCAAAUUGGGCUGUGUAUGUACCUGGAGACUUUGGCUGGCUCAUACCACUCCCUAUGAUGGCAAGCCCUCCUGAUUGACACAGCUAAGUCCUAUGCCUGGUCCACAAAGGCAUUUGGGUUCAUAAGCUCUGCUUAGGCGUUGACAUUUUUAGGCGGC